Molecule: long non-coding RNA, 509 nt
Organism: Drosophila elegans
Lineage: Eukaryota; Metazoa; Arthropoda; Insecta; Diptera; Drosophilidae
Exons: 3
Source: RefSeq, a predicted model, not a curated record
CGUGAGCACGGCAACGAAACGGACGUAAAAUUAUUUAACCGGAAGAAUGAAGCUCUUCCAAAGCUAACAAGUAUAAAUAUUCUUGACCAUUUUCGAUAUCUGCAUAUCUAGCAAGAUCUUUGAAAUCAGGGUAGCAAAAGGAUAAAGAUCGGAAUUACGUGUAUCUAAAAUAUUCCUCAACAGAAGGCAUACUUUUCGGCCGUAUGAGAUCUGGCAGAUCUGUGGCGCAAAACCAGAUUGACUCUGGCGGAUGAUGACUAAUCCGCUGGCUGUGGGCUCCUUCGCAUGCCGAGAUCGUGACUCAGAGCCUACAACUUUACAGUAGAGCUUCCAUAGCUCGAACUUCCAUAUUCUAUACCUUCAUAAGUCUUACAUGCCGUAUUAACAGUUGACGAAGUUGGACUGUAAUCUCGGCCGGAUCGCAUUUGACAUUGACACAGGCGAAGGCGAAGGCAUUGGGGCAAGGAGAGACGCAGGUCGGAGAGUGAAGUAACGGAGGAGGAGAAAGA